AGGUCACGGACCACCCGACGUUGAGCAAAGCCCAUAGACAAACCAACGUGAAUAUCGCCACCGAACUUGAGACAUGAGGUCGAAUUCUCCAUUAAAACCGGUACGCACAAAUACUACGAAGCAGUGACAGCUUUUACCAUUCGCGACUUUAACAGUUACCGUCGACCGUUCGCUGGGGCCGUUACGGCAAAAUCUGCUGAUUCAUUGGACACUCGAAACAUCCAAACUUUAGAAAGAGGGUUAUUAUGAAGUAACUCACACUCGCACUCGGCACGUCUGUUAUUAAAGGGAAAGUGUGCUGGCGAGCUUUUAUUCUCCAACCGCGCCGCCUGAAAACUGGGUCAGCUGACUGUAAGGACUUCAGCUAACACUGCCACGAUGACCUAGGUCAGGUCACCACUGAAUUAUAGUUCGCGCUCCGGCCAAUCGAUACAGGCAGGUGCGAUGGCGCCUUGCCUAUACUCCCUGGUAUAUUGCACCUAUUGCGCCCUCUUUUUGAAGCCUCAACUUAAAUUGUAUUAAAUUUUCUGCAACCUCAACAUUCGGUCUUAAUUUCUGUGUCAGCGACAUUUUUUUCUCAUGCUAAAUGGUUUUUGUACACGUACAUGAUAUAAUUUGCUUCUAUUUUAACUUUUUAACAUUUAAUGGGCGAUGUAAAUCCAUUCGAUGACAUUUUUUGGCAAUUUUCACAGAACAUCUAGAAUAUGGCAGAUUGUUGAUAAGCUGACGACAAAUGAUAAUUCUAAAGUCAGUAUUAGAAAUAUGGCCCUGAUCUGUCUGAUUUGCAGAGGGAGUGUCGGAUGAUAAGAACUGAUAAUUGAAAUGUUCUUGCCGCUUGUAACAUGUAAAAAGUUAUUUGUGAUUCAAUUUAAAUAAUUUAAUUCAAUUUA
This is a long non-coding RNA of Bombyx mori (domestic silkworm), 890 nucleotides long. RefSeq lists it as uncharacterized. The transcript has 3 exons. NCBI's taxonomy places the organism in Eukaryota, Metazoa, Arthropoda, Insecta, Lepidoptera, Bombycidae. The record is from RefSeq and is a predicted model, not a curated record.